AGAGUUUGAUCCUGGCUCAGGACGAACGCUGGCGGCGUGCCUAAUACAUGCAAGUCGAGCGGAUCUUCUCCUUCGGGAGAAGGUUAGCGGCGGACGGGUGAGUAACACGUAGGCAACCUGCCCACAAGACCGGGAUAACAUUCGGAAACGAAUGCUAAGACCGGAUACGCAAGAUUGUCGCAUGACGGUCUUGGGAAACA
RNAcentral lists this ribosomal RNA (200 nucleotides) under uncultured bacterium. Its description in RNAcentral is "partial 16S ribosomal RNA". It matches the Rfam family "Bacterial small subunit ribosomal RNA", at positions 8 to 208 of the family's 1533-position model. The record is from RNAcentral.